AGGGGAAGAGAGAAUGCCAGGAAAGGAGGCUGCGGUCAUAUUUUGAAGAGCCUUGAGUUGUGUUUUUUCUGGAGGCAGUGGAGAGUGGUGAAAGGGGUGUAAGAAGUUCGGAUCUGUGUUUUAAAAAGGUAACCACUGCAGCAGGGCAAGAAUGAAGAGAGCAGGAAAUAAGGUAUUGAUAGUGGGGAUGAGAAGACAGGAUUUGAGAGACAUUUCACGAAAAGAAUUACAGGACUGGGUAUAAAUUGGAUGAGAAGUAUAAUCAAGAGAAAAAGAGUCCCAAUUUCUAGCCUGUCUGUCUUUGUCUUCAAGAUCUGUUGCCAGAGGAAAAUUGGAAUGUGGGUGGUGUCCCAGGAACCCUGAGAAUUUGACUCCUCGCAGAUAACAAAUCAGAUAGAUUCAAAGAGGAAUCCCAG
RNAcentral lists this long non-coding RNA (416 nucleotides) under Homo sapiens (human). RNAcentral describes it as "non-protein coding lnc-ADCY10-2:3". Lineage: Eukaryota; Metazoa; Chordata; Mammalia; Primates; Hominidae. The record is from RNAcentral.